GAAGUGGCCAUGUUCCCAAUAUUCCAUAUGAUUUUUAUGUAAGCUAGGGUAUAAAUAAGAAGGAGAGAGAAGCCUCUUCUCCGUUCUCUUCUGGUGGAUCUGAAGGCACAGGUUCUUUGCUGUUGGUCCUGCUCAUGUGGGGGAGCGAGGCCUAGUGAGGCCUAGUGAGGCCUAGUGAGGCCUUGUAGGCCUCAGGAGGCGGAGGGUGCCAGCGGUGCUUGGCGUGAUUCUGCUGAGUCAAGGAGAGUAGUAAGAUUUUCUUUUACUAGUUCUUUAUUGAUUGUGCAUACCUGUUUCGGGUUUCUUUUGUGGUUUUUGUCCCUUUUCCCUUUCCCUUCCCCUUUGGGGGCGGUUGUUUGGAGUUCUCUUUUUAUAUGUACACAGUGUUGUAACUGUAUAUAACUGUGAUAUAUGUAAAUAUAUGUAUUUUGCUAUAGCUCGGUUAGUUUCUGGUCUUUCAGUUUGUAUAGCUUUUUUUCCUUUGCCCAAAGGGGAGGGGGAGGUUUUUGCUGUAGUCUGAGGGACUUGGUGUGAAGCCAACUCCAAACGGCUACAACAUUUCUACCAAAGAAACUCAUUUGCAGCUGAAACACAACACGAAGCCUGCCCUGUGCUCCCCUGGACUGAAGCUGAUCCAGGAGAGCUCAUGGAGCAAAUCCACAGCACUCAGACUAUGAACUACACAGAGAAGAAAAGGAUAAACCCAUGGAGGGAACUGGUGCUACAAAUGGUGCUGGGGGUCCCCUGACAAUGGGAUUUCUGCCUCCCCACCGUUCUGCAAGCAGCACACGCUGAGGGUGAAGCGUUCAGAGGGCAAGAAAAGCACUUUGGGCCUGUCCCUGCCUGCUGAGCCCAUAUGUCCACUGGGAAGAGAUUGGCAGAGAUCCCUGAGGAGAAGUAAUUACAGGAGACAGGAGCAGUCCAGCACCGAGGGGGAGUCAUUUCUGCACUGCCCAGGUCCAGGUGCCAGAAAACUGAAGGUCACCCUUGGUUGGACUGGAGCAGGAUCACCUGUGACUUCAGGAAAUAUGGGAUUAUCCCCUCUUGGACCAGGUGGGAGGCAGGGACACCCUGUGGCCAGGGAGAGCUUUCAGCACAACAUUUAUCUGCGGUUGAUGGAUCACUGAGCGCUCACAGCUGAGGGAAACGAACAUCAAAGAUCUCCAGUGAAUUAUUUUAAUGGUUG
Lepidothrix coronata (blue-crowned manakin) is the source of this 1186-nucleotide long non-coding RNA. RefSeq lists it as uncharacterized. The record is from RefSeq and is a predicted model, not a curated record. The transcript is spliced from 6 exons. NCBI's taxonomy places the organism in Eukaryota, Metazoa, Chordata, Aves, Passeriformes, Pipridae.